Molecule: RNA transcript, 1163 nt
Organism: Pygocentrus nattereri (red-bellied piranha)
Lineage: Eukaryota; Metazoa; Chordata; Actinopteri; Characiformes; Serrasalmidae
Gene name: chromobox protein homolog 2-like
Exons: 4
Source: RefSeq, a predicted model, not a curated record
AGCUUGCGUGAGGGACAGAUUGAAUAUGUCCACAAACACGCCAGCCAGUUCUGAAAAGCAAACCCUGAGUGCAUGGCUGGGGAUGUUGUCUGGGCCAGCUGCUCUCCGUGGGUUUAUUCUUUUCAAGCUCUGAUCGACUGCGAUGUGGCCAGGAACUUCAGAUCAGUUGUCUGGCAUGGAAAAACUUCAGAUCCCAGUAAAGACCGUCUAGACAGUUCUGAAAAUGGCCACUUUAGACGGAGGACCAGUUGGUUUGGGGACCAUAUCCCAAGUCACCACACCCUUGGGAUUACAGACUAGUGCUCUUCAGUCCCAUGUGCAACAUGUCUGAGCUGUGAUCCAAUGACUUUUAAAAGAACAAUUUGUUCCUUAAAGGAGAAAAGUGUGAAUUCCACCUACAGUCAGUGUCCUUCUUGGGUUACUUCAUCAGCCAAUCAUCAGAGAAUUAUCAUGGAUGACCAGGGCCCUUGGACCAAAUGUCACGCCACCGGAGGAAAUAGAUGGGGCUCCAGUCUAUGCUGUCUGUAGGCUGCUGGACUCCAGGAAAUGGGGUGGGCUCCUUCAAUACCUGGUGGACUGGGAGGUGUAUGGCCCCAAGGAACAAUGUUGGGUGCCAGCUGAAGACAUGUUAGACCCUGGUCUCUUCAUGGACUUUCAUAGUCAGCUCUCAGAAAAAGCCAACUCCUUGUCCCAGGGGUCGUCUGCGUAAGAGGCUCACCAGUUCUCUACCUGCCUGUCUGAGGAAUGCUCAUGAGGAGAAUCCACCUGUGCAGUGCCUCAGCAGCUCUGGUUCAGCCCCUGUUCGAAAACCCGGUGGUGAGAGUGGUGGUUGUCCUCAUGCCGAGGCCCACCUGGGUGGGGGUACCGUCACACAUCCGGCAAGCUCUCAAGAAGAGACGCACUUCACAUUCCAGAAUCCCAUGGGAGAUCAUGUGACUGAGCGACCUCACUCAGACUUGGACUCCGACAGAGACUCCAUUGCCCAUAGUUCAAAGAAUCUCAUGUGACUUCUGACUCUCAUUUGAGAUCCUAUCAGCGCUCACAUUCCCCAGAAUACUAACUGGAUUCACCUGUGUGUUUUGUUAUAUGACAAAAGCAGUUAGUAUAUAAGCCUGGGUUUCAGUUAGAAACCUACUGAGUUUUGUUAUUCUGAUUGUCUGUAU